Cinara cedri is the source of this 207-nucleotide non-coding RNA. Lineage: Eukaryota; Metazoa; Arthropoda; Insecta; Hemiptera; Aphididae. The record is from the annotation of a GenBank genome assembly.
GGACGAGAAAUACGAUUUUUAUUUUUAUCGACGAUUUUUCCGGCCCUCGAGUCGAUAUUCGAAACGUGUGUACCGCGAUUAUAUUUCGCGCGAUGCGUAAUUUGAAAUGCUUUUUACGUGUCGUGUUCUUCUGACAUUCGACUUUAUCCCCCUCCCCUACCCAGUAUAUACGGCACCCGAUACAUAGGAUAUAUACGAGGUUAUAGA